GCCUUCGUAUUGUAAAUGGAAACAAGUUCGGCUUACAGUCGGAAGAUCCGGAGUUUGAAUCUCGGCAAGAGUG
Molecule: transfer RNA, 73 nt
Filed under: Stegodyphus mimosarum
Lineage: Eukaryota; Metazoa; Arthropoda; Arachnida; Araneae; Eresidae
Rfam family: tRNA
About the family: Transfer RNA (tRNA) molecules are approximately 80 nucleotides in length.
Source: Rfam by way of RNAcentral